CUAAAUCGCCGUUUCUUUUUUUUUUUUCAAGACUUUAUAUUUAAAAUCUAUGCUCCUAUUGAAAGUAAAUCUUUUUUUUAAAGAAGCCUAUAAUUUUUUUAAUUAGUGAAAUCUUCUAAAGAGUUUUUUAAAAAAAUAAUAAAUUUAGUGCCAGCAUUUGCGGUUAUACUAACAUUUUUAAAAACAAUAUCAAGCAAAAUAUUUAACUAAAAUUAAAUCAAUGGUAAUUAGUGAAAUAGUGAACAAAUUAAUUAUUUAAAAUAUUAACAGAAAAUAGGAAAAAGAACUAGGAUUAGAUACCCUACUACUCCUGACUAAAACACCACUUAAAAGAUUAAACAUAAAAUUUGAAGAUUUGGCGGCUUUAUUACUUAGAGGAACUUGUCUAUUAAAUUGAUAAUCCCCAUUAAUAUCGUUUUUGAAUUAAUUUUUGUAUACCAUCAUUUAAAUUAUCUAAAAAAAGCAAAUUAUUACGAAAUCGUUUAAAAAGCUAGAUCAAGGUGCAGAUAUAUUCAAAAUUAGGUUAGUUACAAUAUAUAAUUAAACAAAGUACGUUUAAUCUCGUACACAAGGCGGAUUUAAAUGUAAUUCGUAAUUACGCAAAUGAAUAUUAAGAAUUUAGUGUACAAAUUGCCCGUCACUCUCCCUGAGAUAAGUCGAAACAAAGUAGGGGUACCUGAAGGUGCUCCU
This 690-nucleotide non-coding RNA is filed under the name Metacrangonyx dhofarensis. Lineage: Eukaryota; Metazoa; Arthropoda; Malacostraca; Amphipoda; Metacrangonyctidae. The record is from RNAcentral.